CAUUGAUAACUGGUGUUCAAAUCCACGGGUGUUUUUUGAGCUGCACUUCUGAGAUGACACCAUUCAGUGGAAGUAUCCUGUCAUUCAAGUGUGACAGGAUGUGUACAUGAAGAAGGAUGCAGACAAUUAUUGUUUUGUUGGAACCAUUUCCAGUGAAAAAGGAAAAACUUUGGCCUACAUGUUUCUUACCUGAAAGACCUUCAAACAAGAGCUGUGGAGAACUGAAUCAUAAACUGAAUCAAGAACUGGGUCUGGCAUUCAGGGAUGACUGCACCACCUUGGCUGUAUUAACACAGUUAUCAUUUGAAGCCACUCAGAAGAACUAAAAAGAAAUUGCUGAACCUGUUCUUUCAUAUUUGUUUGGGACAAGCACUCAGCAUGCAUUGUUAUGUAUAAAAAGCCAUUUUCCUGGCUCCAAUAAUAAUUUUUUUUUUAAAAAAAUCCAUUAUAGUCAAUAAAUAUAUGCUCUGG
Molecule: long non-coding RNA, 471 nt
Filed under: Parus major (Great Tit)
Lineage: Eukaryota; Metazoa; Chordata; Aves; Passeriformes; Paridae
Description: lncRNA (ENSPMJG00000010248.1)
Source: RNAcentral